This 851-nucleotide ribosomal RNA is filed under the name Salmonella enterica. Its description in RNAcentral is "partial 23S ribosomal RNA". It matches the Rfam family "Bacterial large subunit ribosomal RNA", at positions 161 to 1051 of the family's 2925-position model. The record is from RNAcentral. Lineage: Bacteria; Pseudomonadati; Pseudomonadota; Gammaproteobacteria; Enterobacterales; Enterobacteriaceae.
AAUCCAUAGGUUAAUGAGGCGAACCGGGGGAACUGAAACAUCUAAGUACCCCGAGGAAAAGAAAUCAACCGAGAUUCCCCCAGUAGCGGCGAGCGAACGGGGAGGAGCCCAGAGCCUGAAUCAGCAUGUGUGUUAGUGGAAGCGUCUGGAAAGGCGCGCGAUACAGGGUGACAGCCCCGUACACAAAAGCGCAUGUGCUGUGAGCUCGAUGAGUAGGGCGGGACACGUGGUAUCCUGUCUGAAUAUGGGGGGACCAUCCUCCAAGGCUAAAUACUCCUGACUGACCGAUAGUGAACCAGUACCGUGAGGGAAAGGCGAAAAGAACCCCGGCGAGGGGAGUGAAAAAGAACCUGAAACCGUGUACGUACAAGCAGUGGGAGCACCCUUUGGGGUGUGACUGCGUACCUUUUGUAUAAUGGGUCAGCGACUUAUAUUCUGUAGCAAGGUUAACCGUAUAGGGGAGCCGGAGGGAAACCGAGUCUUAACCGGGCGUUAAGUUGCAGGGUAUAGACCCGAAACCCGGUGAUCUAGCCAUGGGCAGGUUGAAGGUUGGGUAACACUAACUGGAGGACCGAACCGACUAAUGUUGAAAAAUUAGCGGAUGACCUGUGGCUGGGGGUGAAAGGCCAAUCAAACCGGGAGAUAGCUGGUUCUCCCCGAAAGCUAUUUAGGUAGCGCCUCGUGAAUUCAUCUCCGGGGGUAGAGCACUGUUUCGGCUAGGGGGCCAUCCCGGCUUACCAACCCGAUGCAAACUGCGAAUACCGGAGAAUGUUAUCACGGGAGACACACGGCGGGUGCUAACGUCCGUCGUGAAGAGGGAAACAACCCAGACCGCCAGCUAAGGUCCCAAA